GUUUUUUUGUUUUUGCUUUUGUCAGAUUUGUUUGAUUGAGAUACAAGAGAGAAGAUGAAUGUUUAGCAUAAAGAAGAAAAAGUUUUUCUUUUGGUUCAACUUGCAUUGAGAAAGAGAGAAACAAGUUUCACUGCUCACCCUUUUUUGCGUUUCCACAUCUCUUGGUGUUUUUUUUGUCAAAAACACUAAAUAGUAAUCUCUUUUUUA
This 207-nucleotide long non-coding RNA is filed under the name Lathyrus oleraceus (garden pea). Its description in RNAcentral is "Pisum sativum (pea) long non-coding RNA (PSAT_LNC019084)". Lineage: Eukaryota; Viridiplantae; Streptophyta; Magnoliopsida; Fabales; Fabaceae. The record is from RNAcentral.